CAGGUAAACUGAUGUAUCAAGAAAAUAUCCAUCCUGAGAAAAAGGUUACUCAGGCCCAGAAAGACAAAUAUGUGCUUAGGGAGCUAUGCCAAAGAGGAGGCAGAAUGACUCUAAGGGCCAGAGAAGAUGGAAGACACCAAAGAAACAGCAUCUUCCACACAUAACAGGACUGAUGCAAAUAUGAACUCACAGAGACUGUGGAAGUUACAGGGUCUCCAGUUAAGGUAAUGUCUUAGCUACUUUUCUAUUGUUGUGAAGAAACACCAUGAUCUUGGCAACUUCGAAAAGGAAACAUUGAAUUAGGGACUCAUUUACAGUUUCAGAGUCAGUCAACAAUCAAGGUGGGGAGCAUAGCAGCAGGCAGGUAAGCAUGGCUCUGGAGCAGUGCCUGAGAACUUCCAUCUUAUCUGUGAGAGACAGUGUCAGAGACUGGGCCUGGCAUGUAUGUUUGAGACCUCAAAGCCCACCCCCAGUGACUCACUUUCUCCAUCAAAGACACAUUAUCUAAUCCUUCCAUAACAGCCCACCAACUGUGAAACCUUUCAAUUAUGAGUUUAUGUGAACUGUUCUCAUUCAAAUCACCACAGGUAGUAUUUGAGUUGUUA
RNAcentral lists this long non-coding RNA (605 nucleotides) under Cricetulus griseus (Chinese hamster). RNAcentral describes it as "lncRNA (ENSCGRG00015035171.1)". Lineage: Eukaryota; Metazoa; Chordata; Mammalia; Rodentia; Cricetidae. The record is from RNAcentral.